RNAcentral lists this non-coding RNA (201 nucleotides) under Mycolicibacterium brisbanense. Lineage: Bacteria; Bacillati; Actinomycetota; Actinomycetes; Mycobacteriales; Mycobacteriaceae. The record is from RNAcentral.
ACGCCGCACGCUCGGACAGGUGCGACGUGAGAGGGAACCCGGUGAGAAUCCGGGACUGUCCCGCAGCGGUAUGCAGGAACGACCGCCGUCAUCAGCACUGGCCCGCACGUAAUUUCGGGGCUGGGAAGCGACGGCCACUAGGUGCACGAGUUCUCGUGCGUGCCUGCGAGUCCGAAGACCUGCCAGCCGUACCGGGCGCGC